This 1244-nucleotide ribosomal RNA is filed under the name metagenome. Its description in RNAcentral is "bacterial LSU rRNA". It matches the Rfam family "Bacterial large subunit ribosomal RNA", at positions 1564 to 2817 of the family's 2925-position model. The record is from RNAcentral.
UGAAUACGAGAUGCUACGGCGUCGAAGCAGUGUAUGUCAGACUUCCAAGAAAAGCUCGCAAUGUCAUAAAUAAAGAAUGCCUGUACCAUAACCGACACAGGUGGGUAGGUAGAGUAUACUAAGGGGCGCGAGAUAACUCUCUCUAAGGAACUCGGCAAAAUAACUCCGUAACUUCGGGAGAAGGAGUGCCUUCUUUAAGAAGGUUGCAAUAACAAGAUCCAAGCAACUGUUUAUCAAAAACACAGGUCUCCGCUAAGUCGUAAGACGAUGUAUGGGGGCUGACGCCUGCCCAGUGCCAGAAGGUUAAAGAAGUUGGUUAGCUUUUGCGAAGCUGAUGACUGAAGCCCUGGUGAACGGCGGCCGUAACAAUAACGGUCCUAAGGUAGCGAAAUUCCUUGUCGGGUAAGUCCCGACCCGCACGAAAGGCGUAAUGAUUUGGAUACUGUCUCGGAGAGGGACUCGGUGAAAUAGACUUGUCUGUGAAGAUGCGGACUACCUGCACCAGGACAGAAAGACCCUAUGAAGCUUUACUGUAACUUGAAAUUGAAAUUGGACUUUAUUUGCGCAGUAUAGGUGGAAGGCGUUGAAAGUAAUCUUGCGGGAUUAGUGGAGCCAUCAGUGAGAUACCACUCCUAUAAUGUUAGAUUUCUAACUUUGGAUCAUGAUCUGGUCAAAGAACAGUUUCAGGCGGGCAGUUUGACUGGGGCGGUCGCCUCCCAAAUGGUAACGGAGGCGUACAAAGGUUUCCUCUGAACGGGUAGAAAUCGUAUCUAGAGUGUAAAGGCAUAAGGAAGCUUGACUGUGAGACCUACAAGUCGAGCAGGGACGAAAGUCGGUCUUAGUGAUCUGACGGUGCUGAGUGGAAAGGCCGUCACUCAACGGAUAAAAGUUACUCUAGGAUAACAGGCUGAUCUCCCCCAAGAGUUCACAUCGACGGGGAGGUUUGGCACCUCGAUGUCGGCUCAUCGCAUCCUGGGGCGGUAGUACGUCCCAAGGGUUGGGCUGUUCGCCCAUGAAAGCGGUACGCGAGCUGGGUUCAGAACGUCGUGAGACAGUUCGGUCCAUAUCCGGUGUAGGCGUUAGAAUAUUGAGAGGAGCCUUCUUUAGUACGAGAGGACCGAGAAGGACAUACCUCUGGUGUACCAGUUAUCGUGCCAACGGUAAACGCUGGGUAGCUAUGUAUGGAGAGGAUAACCGCUGAAAGCAUCUAAGUGGGAAGCCCACCUCAAGAUGAGUAUUCUCAC